Molecule: ribosomal RNA, 207 nt
Filed under: uncultured bacterium
Lineage: Bacteria
Description: partial 16S ribosomal RNA
Rfam family: Bacterial small subunit ribosomal RNA
Source: RNAcentral
CACGUAGGCGGCAGGGUAAGUCAAAGGUGAAAGCCCUCGGCUCAACCGAGGAAUUGCCUUUGAAACUGCUUUGCUUGAGUCCGGGAGGGGGGAGCGGAAUACCCAAUGGAGCGGUGAAAUGCGUAGAUAUUGGGUAGAACACCGGUGGCGAAGGCGGCUCCCUGGACCGGUACUGACGCUGAGGUGCGAAAGCGUGGGUAGCAAACA